UACGGAGGGUGCAAGCGUUAUCCGGAUUCACUGGGUUUAAAGGGUGCGUAGGCGGACAGGUAAGUCAGUGGUGAAAUCUCUGGGCUUAACCCAGAAACUGCCGUUGAUACUAUUUGUCUUGAAUAUCCUGGAGGUAGGCGGAAUAUGUCAUGUAGCGGUGAAAUGCUUAGAUAUGACAUAGAACACCGAUAGCGAAGGCAGCUUACUACAGGAUGAUUGACGCUGAGGCACGAAAGCGUGGGGAGCAGACAGG
RNAcentral lists this ribosomal RNA (253 nucleotides) under uncultured bacterium. RNAcentral's name for it is "partial 16S ribosomal RNA". It matches the Rfam family "Bacterial small subunit ribosomal RNA", at positions 524 to 776 of the family's 1533-position model. The record is from RNAcentral.